UACGAAGGGGGCUAGCGUUGCUCGGAAUUACUGGGCGUAAAGAGCGUGUAGGCGGUCCGGUAAGUCAGCUGUGAAAGUCAAGGGCUCAACCCUUGAAUGCCGGUUGAUACUGUCGGGCUAGAGUCCGGAAGAGGCGAGUGGAAUUCCCGGUGUAGCGGUGAAAUGCGCAGAUAUCGAGAGGAACACCUGCGGCGAAGGCGGGUUGCUGGGCUGACACUGACGCUGAGGCGCGAAAGCCAGGGGAGCGAACGGG
Molecule: ribosomal RNA, 253 nt
Filed under: uncultured bacterium
Lineage: Bacteria
Description: partial 16S ribosomal RNA
Rfam family: Bacterial small subunit ribosomal RNA
Source: RNAcentral